ACUCAACAUUUACAACCUAAUAAAGGGUAAGUGGAGUUGUUAAAGCGAGCCGUCCUAGAACGGAUACUUGACCAACUCAGUAGCCCUAAACCUGUUUUUAGGAGUUU
Small RNA from Capnocytophaga cynodegmi, 107 nucleotides. It matches the Rfam family "6S-Flavo RNA". The record is from Rfam. Lineage: Bacteria; Pseudomonadati; Bacteroidota; Flavobacteriia; Flavobacteriales; Flavobacteriaceae.